UCCCGGCGCCACAAGUGGGGACCAGGGUUAUUGGGCCUAAAGCGUUCGUAGCAGGCCGGAUAAAUCUCUUGUGAAAUCGUUGGGCUUAACCUAACGGCGUGCAGGAGAGACUGUUCGGCUAGAGACCGGGAGGGGUAGAGAGUAUUCCUUGGGGAGCGGUAAAAUGCUAUAAUCCUUGGAAGACUACCUGUGGCGAAGGCGCUCUACCAGAACGGGUCUGACUGUGAGGGACGAAAGCUAGGGGAGCAAUCCG
RNAcentral lists this ribosomal RNA (253 nucleotides) under uncultured archaeon. Its description in RNAcentral is "partial 16S ribosomal RNA". It matches the Rfam family "Archaeal small subunit ribosomal RNA", at positions 474 to 726 of the family's 1478-position model. The record is from RNAcentral.